GUAGGGUGCAAGCGUUAAUCGGAAUUACUGGGCGUAAAGCGUACGCAGGCGGCUAUGCAAGACAGGUGCGAAAUCCCCGGGCUCAACCUGGGAACUGCACUUGUGACUGCAUGGCUAGAGUACCGUAAGAGGGGGGUGGAAUUCCACGUGUAGCAGUGAAAUGCGUAGAGAUGUGGAGGAACACCGAUGGCGAAGGCAGCCCCCUGGGAUGAGACUGACGCUCAUGUACGAAAGCGUGGGGAGCAAACAGGAUUAGAUACCCGGGUAGUCCACGCCGUAAACGAUGAGUACUAGUUGUCGGGGGUAUCGACCCCCUGGUAACGAAGCUAACGCGAUAAGUACUCCGCCGCCUGGGGCUACGACCACAAGGUUA
RNAcentral lists this ribosomal RNA (373 nucleotides) under uncultured bacterium. Its description in RNAcentral is "bacterial SSU rRNA". It matches the Rfam family "Bacterial small subunit ribosomal RNA", at positions 527 to 896 of the family's 1533-position model. The record is from RNAcentral.